Molecule: transfer RNA, 95 nt
Filed under: Pantoea sp.
Lineage: Bacteria; Pseudomonadati; Pseudomonadota; Gammaproteobacteria; Enterobacterales; Erwiniaceae
Description: tRNA-Tyr
Rfam family: tRNA (bases 17-92)
About the family: Transfer RNA (tRNA) molecules are approximately 80 nucleotides in length. Their secondary structure includes four short double-helical elements and three loops (D, anti-codon, and T loops). Further hydrogen bonds mediate the characteristic L-shaped molecular structure. tRNAs have two regions of fundamental functional importance: the anti-codon, which is responsible for specific mRNA codon recognition, and the 3' end, to which the tRNAs corresponding amino acid is attached (by aminoacyl-tRNA synthetases). tRNAs cope with the degeneracy of the genetic code in two manners: having more than one tRNA (with a specific anti-codon) for a particular amino acid; and 'wobble' base-pairing, i.e. permitting non-standard base-pairing at the 3rd anti-codon position.
Source: RNAcentral
GGUGGGAUUCCCGAGCGGUCCCGAGCGGCCAAAGGGAGCAGACUGUAAAUCUGCCGUCACAGACUUCGAAGGUUCGAAUCCUUCUCCCACCACCA